GACGAACGCUGGCGGCGUGCUUAACACAUGCAAGUCGAACGGAAAGGCCCUGCUUUUGUGGGGUGCUCGAGUGGCGAACGGGUGAGUAACACGUGAGUAACCUGCCCUUGACUUUGGGAUAACUUCAGGAAACUGGGGCUAAUACCGGAUAGGAGCUCCUGCUGCAUGGUGGGGGUUGGAAAGUUUCGGCGGUUGGGGAUGGACUCGCGCCUUAUCAGCUUGUUGGUGGGGUAGUGGCUUACCAAGGCUUUGAGGGGUAGCCGGCCUGAGAGGGUGACCGGCCAAGUUGGGACUGAGAUGCGGCCCAGACUCCUACGGGAGGCAGCGGUGGGGAAUAUUGCACAAUGGGCGGAAGCCUGAUGCAGCAACGCCGCGUGCGGGAUGACGGCCUUCGGGUUGUAAACCGCUUUCGCCUGUGACGAAGCGUGAGUGACGGUAAUGGGUAAAGAAGCACCGGCUAACUACGUG
RNAcentral lists this ribosomal RNA (468 nucleotides) under uncultured bacterium. RNAcentral's name for it is "partial 16S ribosomal RNA". It matches the Rfam family "Bacterial small subunit ribosomal RNA", at positions 28 to 507 of the family's 1533-position model. The record is from RNAcentral.